UAAAUGAGAUAAUAUAUGUUAUUAUUCCCAUUUUAUCAAGGAGGAAACAGGCCCAGAGAAGGGAAGCGACUUGGUUGCAGAUGGCACAGCUGGUGGGUGGCAGCCAGUACCCUUCCUGCCCAGAAGAUGCCAGGAAAAUCUGUGCCCGGGAAGGGCGGUCUGGCACCUGAGGGCCCCGCCUGACCAGCCCUUCUCAGCAGCAGGAGCUGGGUGGGAGUCACUUUAUGCCAGAGACGCCCCAGCAGUGCCAUCCACCUCCUGGGCUGAGGAGUACCCCCAAGAGGCUCUGCCCGGGCACCAUGCCCAGGGCCCAGCCUAGUAGCAGGAGCAGCCCCUGCCUGGGCCUCAGAGAAGCCACAAUCUCCUCUAACUAUCCCUGGGAAGCCAUGUUGCCUUACAUCCCCCAGAGAAUGGGGACCCCUUCGCUCUUGGUGUCUAACCAUCGUUCCACACGUUGUCUUCAAAGCCCAACCACUUCCCAAAAAGCAAGGUCAACAGCUGACUGCAUGCCACAGCACCCCAGUGGUGCCUGCUUUGAGGUGGGACCUGGCUGGGGGGGACCCUGCCGAGUAGAAACAGGCCUUCGUCACUGGGUCAGGCUCUGUUCUGAGGUCGUCCACGUACCUUGCUGAAUGGUCACCACAUUCCUGCAGUGUGGAGUCAGUGUUACAGAUUGGAAAACUGAGACACCGAGCGUUGAAGUGACUCAUCUGUGGACACACUGCGAGAAAAAGAGCUGGGAUUCAAGCCCGUAGCUUGGCUGCAGAGCCCGAUCCCUUAAAUGUUCUUCCAUAGUGCCUCUGAUUCCUAGGGGGCCUCCACUGGAGGUCAUUGCAUUCAAUCCCCUGCAUCUGGGUGUCCACCCAGGCCCACCUCUGCUCACAGAUAAGAAUCAAUCAAGCUUUUAUUUAUUUAUUUAUUUUAAUUUUUUUUUAUUUUUUG
Molecule: long non-coding RNA, 942 nt
Organism: Cercocebus atys (sooty mangabey)
Lineage: Eukaryota; Metazoa; Chordata; Mammalia; Primates; Cercopithecidae
Exons: 3
Source: RefSeq, a predicted model, not a curated record